UGGCCUCUUGUUCAACUCAGCUCCCAGUCCCACAUCAGCUGUGCCCUCUCCCAACCUAACCCAUUUCUACUGCAGUUCUUCACCCCCCUCGUCCGUGCAGGGGGUUGGCUCUGCAGCCCCUAAGGCACCUGCGUUAAUCACUGUCUCACAUACUGGGGCUAUUUAGAUGUCAGGGAAUGAUUUAUCAGAGUUACUGACUCAGAGGUGGGAGAGAGGAGAGGCUGAGAGGGAGUUUGCUCCCCACACUCUGUAGGGCCAUGUUCAACCCUGGUAACCUCCAUGUUACCUCAUCCUCCCCCCUCCCCCAUGGGUCUCUGCUCGUGUCAGUGUCACCUUCUGAUCACAAUGCCACUGGCCUCAGCAGAGCUCCCAGACAGGAGCUACAUCACGAUGGGGUUACGGUACUGAGAGUAAAAUACAUGACAGGGAGGGUGUAAUUGUCCUGAAAGGAAGUACUACAGUCCAGGAAGUGAAAGAAUUAAAAUAUUUAGUUACUUAAAAGUAUGCUUGAAAGGAUUGGAUUUUUAUUAAUAAAUUGCAGUAAAUGUUGAUUUCAUGUACACACACAGAUGACAAAAUAUUUAUAUUGGUAAAAUACAGAAAUGCUUCUGGAGAAAGUCCAGUUUGAUUUAAGGAUAUUUACACUGUAUAUUUUGCAUGUGACAUUGACAAUUUGUGUUUGAACAGUUAUAAAAAUUUGGCUUUGGGAAUCUCAUUUACCGUAAUUAAAUAAUUGUGGUCUGAUGACCCCCAUAACUUCCCACAGCUCUGAACAUUGAAAUUGUAAACAUUGAAAAAAGGGCUUAAAAUAAAUAUAUCAUCUAUUGAAAUUUAAAAAAAGAAAUAGACAAAAUGAAUUGAUGGAAGUUCACAGCUCAGGCACCCAAGCUUAAUUCUCCCCUGUAGUGACACCAGGCAAUCGCCAUAGGGCUACAAAUAAGGCAUUUUAGUGUAUAAAGUCCCAGAUUAGAUUAUACCGAUUUGUAAAGACACAUGAGAUCUCUCCCUCAGGGUGUCACCUUCACUGGGUUGUUUCUUUUAUUGGUAAUUCCCAGAAGUCAAUAGCUAAAUAACAUUCUAUCCGUUAUGAAGUGGCCAUUUCAGAUUUCUGGGGAGCGUCUAUUAUUUUGCACUAGGGGCCAGGUCCUUGGAGAGACAGAACCUUGGUUUCAUUUUAACUUCUCCAUGCUCACAGCUUCUGGAAUUUGGUUCAAAGUAUUUACAUGUUUCCCUGGCCUGUUCUUAAAAGUGCUGCUAUAGAAAGUGGGGAGGGGCAGGAACUCAUUGUAGGGUCAGUAGCCGAGUCCCUUAGAGAUUUAUAGCUCAUCGGAAGGAUGAUGGGGAUUGGUGGGUGUUUGUGGAUUUAAUAAUAAACACACAAAUAUCUUCGUUCUUAAUGAAUUUUCAUCUUCUAAUUCCCAUAACCACUAAUUAUCCCUGGCUGCCCCAGCAGUCUCGGGGAGGGAAUACUAGUAAGCUCCAGUGUGGAACCUAACGCACAAGGAUCUUUCUGUGGCUGGCUCAAAGUCACCCAGAGUGAAAUUCACUUCACUGGAUAAAUCCCUAGUUGCUGGGCUCUGCAAAGGGAUGAGGAGGUGAAUUCCAUCCCCCAUUCCUGGGCAUGGACCCCCUCUCCCCCCCCCCCGCCAAUCCUCACCCUGAUCUCAGACACUACCCCAACCUUCCCCUGCAGUGAUGGACCCACUUGAUGCUGCCAGAGCCAUCUGCCCAGCUCCAGAACUGCUACCCCUGCCCAGAGCUACCAUGCUAUGCUGGGGUUGCCCUGGCUUUCCAAUCUGCAGAUCGGUCCAGCUGUCUGGGGAUGUCGCCCAUGCACUCACCACACACAAACUUCCUCACAACUCACAUCCCAGGAUGGGGAAGGACCAUCUGGUGCUGGCUGCAGUCUCCCCUUGCUGCUGUAAGAGGAAUGGGGUGGUCCCUCAUAUAGAACACGGACAUACCCAGACGCAGAAGGGAAAUGUAGUUUCUUCCAGGGGCUUAUAAAUGUUUGGUUUAGAGUCCUGAGCUCUGUCUUCCUGUUUGUCUCCUGCCACUUUCAGAUCUCUUGGUAAGACAAGGUAAGUGAGGUCAUUUCUUUUAGAACCAAUUAAAAAUCCUUCUCUUUGAUAUCCUGGGACCAACAUUACCACAACAACUCUCUUCCGUUUGUACCCCCUCCCCCUCAGCUGAGACUGUCCCAUGUGAUGGGAAAAUAAGGGAUCAGUCCUGUAACUGGAUUGGGUCGUGCCAGCACUGAUGGGAGUGAAAGCCUGUGUGCAUUAAUGACAGCAGCAGCUCUAGGACCCAGAGACAUAGGGAGAAGAGAUGAGCAGGUUAUGUUUGUGCAGGGUGUGAAUUACUCGUGGGAAUUUUGCGCCACUGCAUAUGCACAGAAUUCACGUCCAGCACAGAAUUUUUCUUUUUUUUUUUUUUUUUUUGUCUUGAAGAAGAUGCAUUCUGCCUGGGAAGUGCUGCAGUUCUGCCUUUCAACCACUGAGGCCCCUGUAGCACCAGAACAGCCCACAGCCAGCUGGGUUCAUCUAGCUGGGAAAUUGUUGCCCUGAGCUAUACCCCAAAUGGGAAGAGAAUUAGUGGGUGCACCUUGGCAGAGUCCUGAGACACAGCUGCCUCUGGGGAUGGGGACAGGGUGGUCAUUCUCUGCUCGCAAGAGGAUGUGGAAUGGGCCCAGUCCCAGCCACUUCUGCCCCCCACCAUACCCCAAACCUUUUCACCCCUCCAACUAUCAGCUGCCGGUCUUCCCUCGCUGCUACCCCUUCCUGACUGGUAGAGAACCUCUAAGCUCUGGCCUCUUCUCUUUGCUUCUGAAAGUUGCCUUGCCCAGGGCUUUGCUGCCUGUGUGAAUGGCAGGUAGGGAUGGAGAGCCAUCACUUUUUGUGUAUUUACUGAAUAUUCAUCUAGUCACUGACACCUUGAUUAAUGCAGAGUUAAGGUUGCCCAGCAGUAUGUUGGGCCCUGCCAGAAUAUCAAGUUCAGCAAAAGUCAAACCUCCAAAAACUAGGAAAUACAGAGCUAAUGUACACACCAAUGCAACCUUAACUCUACCUCCUGGAGCUGUCAACAGCCACUGGGCAUUCUCUACCUGUACUCCAGCUGCACUCCCUGUGUUAGGUGUAGCUGCACUGAAAGGUAGAGGCAUUAGUUAGAACAGCUUGGUGGAGGUGUGAUUGUGAUAUGAGACGAUCUGGGUCUGAGUCCCCCACGUGUGCGAUGAAAGGAAAGAGAUGCGUGUGUACCUUAAGCUUCCAGUCUGUAUCAUAGAAUCAUAGAA
Non-coding RNA from Chrysemys picta bellii (western painted turtle), 3292 nucleotides. NCBI's taxonomy places the organism in Eukaryota, Metazoa, Chordata, Testudines, Emydidae. The record is from RefSeq and is a predicted model, not a curated record.